CCUUUUCUGACGAGGGAACGGGUAUGGGUUGAACGAUACAGAGAAGAUUAGCAUGGCCCAUGCGCAAGGAUGAACUGUUCAACUUAAUUGUCUUCAAGAUAAUU
Cryptotermes secundus is the source of this 104-nucleotide small nuclear RNA. Lineage: Eukaryota; Metazoa; Arthropoda; Insecta; Blattodea; Kalotermitidae. The record is from RefSeq and is a predicted model, not a curated record.